GUGGAUUAGUUACCCGGGUAGUCCACGCAGUAAACGAUGAAUACUAACUGUUUGCGAUAUACAGUAAGCGGUACAGCGAAAGCGUUAAGUAUUCCACCUGGGGAGUACGUUCGCAAGAAUGAAACUCAAAGGAAUUGACGGGGGCCCGCACAAGCGGAGGAACAUGUGGUUUAAUUCGAUGAUACGCGAGGAACCUUACCCGGGCUUGAAAUGCAUCUGACGUACCUGGAAACAGGUAUUCUAGCAAUAGCAGAUGUGUAGGUGCUGCACGGCCGUCGUCAGCU
RNAcentral lists this ribosomal RNA (284 nucleotides) under uncultured bacterium. RNAcentral's name for it is "partial 16S ribosomal RNA". It matches the Rfam family "Bacterial small subunit ribosomal RNA", at positions 773 to 1060 of the family's 1533-position model. The record is from RNAcentral.